AGUGAACGCUGGCGGUAGGCCUAACACAUGCAAGUCGAACGGCAGCACAGUAAGAGCUUGCUCUUACGGGUGGCGAGUGGAGGACGGGUGAGGAAUACAUCGGAAUCUACUUUUUCGUUGGGGAUAACGUAGGGAAACUUACGCUAAUACCGCAUACGACCUACGGGUGAAAGCAGGGAAUCUUCGGACCUUGCGCGAUUGAAUGAGCCGAUGUCGGAUUAGCUAGUUGGCGGGGUAAAGGCCCACCAAGGCGACGAUCCGUAGCUGGUCUGAGAGGAUGAUCAGCCACACUGGAACUGAGACACGGUCCAGACUCCUACGGGAGGCAGCAGUGGGGAAUAUUGGACAAUGGGCGCAAGCCUGAUCCAGCCAUACCGCGUGAGUGAAGAAGGCCUUCGGGUUGUAAAGCCCUUUUGUUGGGAAAGAAAAGCAGCAGGUUAAUACCCCGCUGUUCUGACGGUACCCAAAGAAUAAGCACCGGCUAACUUCGUG
This 492-nucleotide ribosomal RNA is filed under the name uncultured bacterium. Its description in RNAcentral is "partial 16S ribosomal RNA". It matches the Rfam family "Bacterial small subunit ribosomal RNA", at positions 29 to 507 of the family's 1533-position model. The record is from RNAcentral.